RNAcentral lists this long non-coding RNA (344 nucleotides) under Mytilus galloprovincialis (Mediterranean mussel). The record is from RNAcentral. Lineage: Eukaryota; Metazoa; Mollusca; Bivalvia; Mytilida; Mytilidae.
GAAACUUGUGUUCUUUAUAUGCGACGUCAUCAGGCAAGGUAGCCUUUUUUCAUGACGUCACAAUAGGAAAAUUGAGAAGAAAACAAAACAUUUUGACGUCAUAAUCAAAUUUUGAGUAAUCAUUUGCCGAGAACAGAUUUUUCACUAGUGAGGAGAAAUAUUUUUCUCACAUCGGUUAGGAAAUGUGAAAAAAGCACAAAAAUUAGAGAAAAAUAAUUAGACAGUAACCAUACAAAAAGAAAACAAAAAGAAAUCUAGAAGUAAACAUGCAGUAUCUAACAAUUAACAAGUGUCAAUUCUUAAUGAGAAAGAUUCUAGAAAAACUGUGAAUAAAUUUAACUGGC